AAAGUAUAGUUUAACAAAACCUCUCGCUUACACCGAAAAUUUAUCUGUGAAAACCAGGUUACUUUGAG
RNAcentral lists this transfer RNA (68 nucleotides) under Limnonectes jarujini. RNAcentral describes it as "tRNA-Val". Lineage: Eukaryota; Metazoa; Chordata; Amphibia; Anura; Dicroglossidae. The record is from RNAcentral.